GUUUGCUUCCUCCCUUCCCGAAUCGAUCUUAGUGUAAUUUUUAGGCCUGUUGGGGAUGACCUUUUUAGGCCUUUAAGCACUGGAACAAUCCAACCAUUUCCUUCUUUGCCUGCCUCAGUUUCAAAUGAACUGAUAAUCUCUGCAACAGAAUCCUUGGAGAAGCACUCAUCAAUUAUUGACUGCUUUUUCAAGAUACUUUCUUCAUCGAUCUGAACGUCUGUAGAGAACUCCUUGAUUGCAGAUCCGACAGCAGCCUCGUCGCCAGUGUUUAAGCUUAGUAAGUGCUUCUCUAGCUCUGGCAGUUUCUCCAGAGGUACAAAAUGUGUUGCAAGUCCAACAGCUACCAAUUCUUUACCGUUCAGCCUCGCUCCAGUUAAACCCAAGUAUUCCCCGAGUCUACCAGGAAGUCGAGAAAGCAUGUAUGAGAAACCGCAGUCCGUGUGGAAGCCUAUACUUGCUUCAGGAGUGGAGAAAACCGUCUUUUCAGUCACAACAGAGAACUUCAUUGGAGCCAUUAAGGAUGCACCUCCGCCCAUUGAGAUUCCAUGAACAAGAGCAACCGUGGUCUUUUUAUAUGUAUGAAUGUGAUUGCAAAGCCAAUACAUUCGAUAAACAACCUCAAGGCAGGAAUCCUUUGAAUUCCUGCCAUUAUAGAACAUCUUCAAAUCCCCGCCAGCAGAAAAAGCCCGGCCAGCUCCCUUGAUGAUAACAAGUUUUGCAUUCUCAUCUUUCUCCCACUUCUCGAGAUUCGCUGCAAGAAGCACUACCACUUUGGGUGAAAUGACAUUCAACUGUUUUGGGUUAUUUAAGGUAACAACUCUAGCAUUUCCAAGUUCUUCAACCAAAACAACCUCUUGUUCAAGAUUUAAUGUUUCUUGAGCCAUGAUUAAUAAAAUUCCCAAACCAAGAACAAAAUCAAAUUAAGAUUUUGAAUAAUUAGGGGUUAUGGAG
RNAcentral lists this unclassified non-coding RNA (951 nucleotides) under Hevea brasiliensis (rubber tree). Lineage: Eukaryota; Viridiplantae; Streptophyta; Magnoliopsida; Malpighiales; Euphorbiaceae. The record is from RNAcentral.